RNAcentral lists this ribosomal RNA (523 nucleotides) under uncultured Enterococcus sp. RNAcentral's name for it is "bacterial SSU rRNA". It matches the Rfam family "Bacterial small subunit ribosomal RNA", at positions 353 to 866 of the family's 1533-position model. Lineage: Bacteria; Bacillati; Bacillota; Bacilli; Lactobacillales; Enterococcaceae. The record is from RNAcentral.
AGUAGGGAAUCUUCGGCAAUGGACGCAAGUCUGACCGAGCAACGCCGCGUGAGUGAAGAAGGUUUUCGGAUCGUAAAACUCUGUUGUUAGAGAAGAACAAGGAUGAGAGUAAAAUGUUCAUCCCUUGACGGUAUCUAACCAGAAAGCCACGGCUAACUACGUGCCAGCAGCCGCGGUAAUACGUAGGUGGCAAGCGUUGUCCGGAUUUAUUGGGCGUAAAGCGAGCGCAGGCGGUUUCUUAAGUCUGAUGUGAAAGCCCCCGGCUCAACCGGGGAGGGUCAUUGGAAACUGGGAAACUUGAGUGCAGAAGAGGAGAGUGGAAUUCCAUGUGUAGCGGUGAAAUGCGUAGAUAUAUGGAGGAACACCAGUGGCGAAGGCGGCUCUCUGGUCUGUAACUGACGCUGAGGCUCGAAAGCGUGGGGAGCAAACAGGAUCAGAUACCCUGGUAGUCCACGCCGUAAACGAUGAGUGCUAAGUGUUGGAGGGUUUCCGCCCUUCAGUGCUGCAGCUAACGCAUUAAGCA